Molecule: long non-coding RNA, 1030 nt
Filed under: Vigna radiata
Lineage: Eukaryota; Viridiplantae; Streptophyta; Magnoliopsida; Fabales; Fabaceae
Description: long non-coding RNA (VRAD_LNC018262)
Source: RNAcentral
GCAAAGAAAGAAAGCUAGGAUUUAUCUAAGGUAAGAGAAGCUGAACUUGUUUUAUGUUUUAUGAAUUGCGACUUCACAAAGCAUGGGUGGUUAAUUGUGCACAUGAUACUGUUUGGAUUAUAUUUGUUUUUGGGUUGUUCCGGGUUNUUUGAUGAAUUUUAUCUGUUGUUAUUGGNUNGNUCGAAGGUAGUCUGACGAAAAAUCGUAUGCUUGUAUUGGUAUAGGANAUAAUUCUACUUUUUCUGUCUUCUUUAACNUUUAAACUGAAUGCAGAAAUANCUUAAGCAUGCAUGUGAAUUUCGAUUCUAGNCUGGGAAAUUUAAGUUCUUUGGUACAGGAUGAUAGUUAUUAAUGGUACUCUAAUUUUUUUUGGUUGAUCAUAUAUGUUGUUUUCGGGUGCUGUAUUUAACUUACGUUUAGAAGAUUAAAUACAUGCAAGAAGUAAAUAUGCAGUGACUGAUAUUGAGUAGUGUAAUGAAGAUUNUAGUUUAGUUGUGGGUUCAUAUUUAAGACCUGUAUGUACAACAGUUUUGAAUAAGUAACUUUGAAUUAUGUUGAGUGAUGAUUUUGGUAUAGUGUUUGNUGUUCCAGUUGGUCUCUAGAGUAUACGUAAGGANAAUGGUUUGUGGAAGUAGAGAACGAAAAGAAAAAGAGAAGAAGUAUGGUGGAUGGUGGGAGUUUAUAGUAUUGAAAUUUAAAAUAGUCGUAGAGAGGAUUUAGGAACGUUGCAGAGGAAGGGUUUAGAUAAAUUAUGGUAGGAAAGAAAGUGUAAUAUUCAUAUACAUAGNAGAGAAAAGGGUUNGUUUUAUGCCUGGGAUUGAUGAAGAGUGAAGAGAAUAGGGUAUAGGUAUGUUGUACUGUAAAAUAGAAAUUGAAGAAGGAAUUAGGUUUAGAGUACGUGCAUAGGAUGGGAGUUGGUUGCGUNUGGUUUAUUUCGUGAACUUCUAGGAUAAUAUUAAAAAUCAAAGAAAGACGAAAGAGAAUAAGAAGAGGGUUGGGUGACUGAAAGUUGUUUAUUUGAUGGUUCGGU